GACGAACGCUGGCGGCGUGCCUAAUACAUGCCAGUAGAACGCUGAAGGAGGAGCUUGCUUCUCUGGAUGAGUUGCGAACGGGUGAGUAACGCGUAGGUAACCUGCCUGGUAGCGGGGGAUAUCUAUUGGAAACGAUAGCUAAUACCGCAUAAGAGUAGGUGUUGCAUGACAUUUACUUAAAAGGUGCAAUUGCAUCACUACCAGAUGGACCUGCGUUGUAUUAGCUAGUUGGUGAGGUAACGGCUCACCAAGGCAACGAUACAUAGCCGACCUGAGAGGGUGAUCGGCCACACUGGGACUGAGACACGGCCCAGACUCCUACGGGAGGCAGCAGUAGGGAAUCUUCGGCAAUGGACGGAAGUCUGACCGAGCAACGCCGCGUGAGUGAAGAAGGUUUUCGGAUCGUAAAGCUCUGUUGUAAGAGAAGAACGAGUGUGAGAGUGGAAAGUUCACACUGUGACGGUAUCUUACCAGAAAGGGACGGCUAACUACGUG
This 495-nucleotide ribosomal RNA is filed under the name uncultured bacterium. RNAcentral describes it as "partial 16S ribosomal RNA". It matches the Rfam family "Bacterial small subunit ribosomal RNA", at positions 28 to 507 of the family's 1533-position model. The record is from RNAcentral.